CAGCCAUCACGGAAGAUAUUUAAUUAUUAGAAGAAAUUAGUAGAAAAUAGUAAUCAAUUUUACUGUAGCUCAGAGUAUCAUGCAUUUGGAGUAUUAUUAUAAAUAUUUUUGUUUUUAAUUACUAUUUUAGUGUAAAAUAAUUUUUACAGUAAUGAUUUCUUAAAUCAGGAUAUCGAUUACGUGUUACGUAAUUUUUGCAUAACAGAUGCAUAACAUAUAGCUGAGUGUGCUGAAAUUAAGUAUGAUUUGAAAACAUUAAUGAAACGUUAAAAAAUAUUGUUAAGUUAUCCAGAAUAAAUAAAAUGGCUAACUUUAUAAUACCGAUGCAUUUAUUUGCGUAUAUUAGUGGCUAUUUAAAUAGAUAUCGACUACCUUUGCCUCUAAUUAUGUCACCACAGUAAUUUAAAAGUACAGAACAGUGGCUCUCACAAUAAAACUGUUGAAUCCUAAUCGUAUUUAAAAUAAAAAGAAAUUUAAUUUGCACCCUUUUCUUACUAAUAAAACAAUAUUGCAUAAUCUAUAAAUGAUUUAAAUUAUUAAGCUU
Bombus huntii is the source of this 544-nucleotide long non-coding RNA. RefSeq lists it as uncharacterized. The transcript is spliced from 2 exons. The record is from RefSeq and is a predicted model, not a curated record. NCBI's taxonomy places the organism in Eukaryota, Metazoa, Arthropoda, Insecta, Hymenoptera, Apidae.